RNAcentral lists this ribosomal RNA (1372 nucleotides) under uncultured bacterium. RNAcentral describes it as "bacterial SSU rRNA". It matches the Rfam family "Bacterial small subunit ribosomal RNA", at positions 28 to 1381 of the family's 1533-position model. The record is from RNAcentral.
GAUGAACGCUGGCGGCGUGCCUAAUACAUGCAAGUCGAGCGAACGGACGAGAAGCUUGCUUCUCUGAUGUUAGCGGCGGACGGGUGAGUAACACGUGGAUAACCUACCUAUAAGACUGGGAUAACUUCGGGAAACCGGAGCUAAUACCGGAUAAUAUUUUGAACCGCAUGGUUCAAAAGUGAAAGACGGUCUUGCUGUCACUUAUAGAUGGAUCCGCGCUGCAUUAGCUAGUUGGUAAGGUAACGGCCUACCAAGGCAACGAUGCAUAGCCGACCUGAGAGGGUGAUCGGCCACACUGGAACUGAGACACGGUCCAGACUCCUACGGGAGGCAGCAGUAGGGAAUCUUCCGCAAUGGGCGAAAGCCUGACGGAGCAACGCCGCGUGAGUGAUGAAGGUCUUCGGAUCGUAAAACUCUGUUAUUAGGGAAGAACAUAUGUGUAAGUAACUGUGCACAUCUUGACGGUACCUAAUCAGAAAGCCACGGCUAACUACGUGCCAGCAGCCGCGGUAAUACGUAGGUGGCAAGCGUUAUCCGGAAUUAUUGGGCGUAAAGCGCGCGUAGGCGGUUUUUUAAGUCUGAUGUGAAAGCCCACGGCUCAACCGUGGAGGGUCAUUGGAAACUGGAAAACUUGAGUGCAGAAGAGGAAAGUGGAAUUCCAUGUGUAGCGGUGAAAUGCGCAGAGAUAUGGAGGAACACCAGUGGCGAAGGCGACUUUCUGGUCUGUAACUGACGCUGAUGUGCGAAAGCGUGGGGAUCAAACAGGAUUAGAUACCCUGGUAGUCCACGCCGUAAACGAUGAGUGCUAAGUGUUAGGGGGUUUCCGCCCCUUAGUGCUGCAGCUAACGCAUUAAGCACUCCGCCUGGGGAGUACGACCGCAAGGUUGAAACUCAAAGGAAUUGACGGGGACCCGCACAAGCGGUGGAGCAUGUGGUUUAAUUCGAAGCAACGCGAAGAACCUUACCAAAUCUUGACAUCCUUUGACAACUCUAGAGAUAGAGCUUUCCCCUUCGGGGGACAAAGUGACAGGUGGUGCAUGGUUGUCGUCAGCUCGUGUCGUGAGAUGUUGGGUUAAGUCCCGCAACGAGCGCAACCCUUAAGCUUAGUUGCCAUCAUUAAGUUGGGCACUCUAAGUUGACUGCCGGUGACAAACCGGAGGAAGGUGGGGAUGACGUCAAAUCAUCAUGCCCCUUAUGAUUUGGGCUACACACGUGCUACAAUGGACAAUACAAAGGGCAGCGAAACCGUGAGGUCAAGCAAAUCCCAUAAAGUUGUUCUCAGUUCGGAUUGUAGUCUGCAACUCGACUACAUGAAGCUGGAAUCGCUAGUAAUCGUAGAUCAGCAUGCUACGGUGAAUACGUUCCCGGGUCU